Molecule: long non-coding RNA, 256 nt
Organism: Astyanax mexicanus (Mexican tetra)
Lineage: Eukaryota; Metazoa; Chordata; Actinopteri; Characiformes; Acestrorhamphidae
Exons: 3
Source: RefSeq, a predicted model, not a curated record
GUUAAAUUAAAGCUAGGUUAGCUAGUCAAAUUAAAGCUAGGUUAGUUAGUUAAAUUAAAGCUAGGUUAGCAAGUAAAAUUAAAGCGAGGUUAGCUAGUCAAAUUAAAGCUAGGUUAGCUAGUCAAAUUAAAGCUAGGUUAGCUAGUUACAUUAAAGCUAGGUUAGCUAGUUAACUUAAAGCUAGGUUAGUUAGGUAAAUUAAAGCUAGGUUAGCUAGUCAAAUUAAAGCUAGGUUAGCUAGUUACAUUAAAGCUAG